This 1092-nucleotide long non-coding RNA is filed under the name Homo sapiens (human). RNAcentral describes it as "HSALNT0257301". Lineage: Eukaryota; Metazoa; Chordata; Mammalia; Primates; Hominidae. The record is from RNAcentral.
GCAGCCAGGAGUCUGGAGCGCAGGUGCCGGGCAGGCAGCACUGGGAGCGCUCGGCGACUUGGCUGGAGGCCGAAGGUGCCGCCCCUGGGGAACCAGAGCGCCUUUGCAAGAAGGAGUCUCGCUCUGACACCCAGGCUGGAGUGCAGUGGCGCGAUCUCGGCUCACCGCAAGCUCCGCCUCCCGGGUUCACGCCAUUCUCUGCCUCAACCUCCCGAGUAGCUGGGACUACAAGCGCCUGCCACCACGACCGGCUAAUUUUUGUAUUUUUAGUAGAGAUAAGGUUUCACUGUGCUAGCCAGGAUGGUCUCGAUCUCCUGACCUCGUGAUCCGCCCGUCUCGGCCUCCCAAAGUGUAGGGAUUACCGUCGUGAGCCACCACGACCGGCCCCUGAGAGAAGGCAUUCUUGUCUUGUGCCAGUUUUCAAAAAGAAAUGGUUUCAACUUGCAUCUAUUUGUGUGCCCAAGGCUAUUCCACAGAUGUCUGAAUUCAUUGUCUACUGAAAUUCCGACGUCUUGACAGUUCAACAUGUUCCAGGACAUGGCUGUUGUAGGAAAAAAUAUGAAUUAGAAAUAAGAGGAUUUAUUCACAUACCUUAAAAUAAAGGAGAAUAUUUUGCUCUUCUCUCUUUUCUUAUAGCAUUUAUAUUAUAUGUAGACAAUUUUCUCUGUUUUUUUUGAAAUAUAUGGAAGUCAUAUUAACAGCUAAAUAAACCUUUUGGCAUUCUUUUUUACUCGGGAUUGUCUUUAUCUAGGACCUUAGAUUCAUUGCUUGUUUUUGCUUUGGCAAAAGUUUAUAUUUUUUGUUAUUAGCCUUCUAAGGUAGACACAGAUUUGUUUAGAUAAAUGUCAUUUUAAGUGCACACAAAAGUUUGGCACCAAGAUAGGAUUAAAUUUAGCAAUACAGAAUGAUUAAAGCCAAGAGAUACUGAGUAAGUUCCUUUGACAGAAAACUGAUUAUCUGAGGUAAUGAUCUAAUAUUUGCAGGUUGAAGUACUUACACUGCAAAAGCAAGUGUAGUUCAGUGUAUAAACUGUGGAGUCUGUAGUUGUACUUUGCUUUCUAUUUUAUACUUCAGAAUAAUUAGCAUAGUUAU